AACUGUGAGAACGAACCAAGGAAAGGUGUUAAUUUGGCUUAAAAAUAUUUACAAUCGUUGUGAAAUUUUGCAAAACAAUAUUAACAAUGGCUAAGUUCUGGGUCAUUUUGUUAGCUGUUAUAGCGUUGACUAGUGCAGGACCUAUAGAAGAGAAACGUUUAACCGCAGACGCCGAGCCCG
Drosophila willistoni is the source of this 180-nucleotide RNA transcript. RefSeq lists it as uncharacterized. The transcript is spliced from 3 exons. NCBI's taxonomy places the organism in Eukaryota, Metazoa, Arthropoda, Insecta, Diptera, Drosophilidae. The record is from RefSeq and is a predicted model, not a curated record.